Molecule: long non-coding RNA, 745 nt
Organism: Pistacia vera
Lineage: Eukaryota; Viridiplantae; Streptophyta; Magnoliopsida; Sapindales; Anacardiaceae
Exons: 5
Source: RefSeq, a predicted model, not a curated record
UGUUUGUGGCACUAAACUAUUCUUCUCAAAAGUACAGUUAGAUGACUCCAUAGUGAAAACCAUUUUGACUGAUCCCCGGCAAGAGCUCAAGAAAGCAAGAGAUUUAAUCCUUCGUAUUCGGAGAAGGGAAAUAUACCAGUUCUGCAAUGAAUUUUCAGUUCCAAAGGCCAAGCUAGAGCAUUUCAAAGACAUCACUCCACAAGAUAUUGUUUGUUCUCAGAAAGCUGGUGGUGUUUCACUAAAAGAAGAAGAUGUUGCUGUGAGCAAUGUUAGGAUUGAUUUGACUCGCGGAAAGAACAACCCCCUUGAAAGCAUUAAUUUUUUCAAGGAUUAUGAUUGCGAUGAGAAGUUUCCCAUUCGGGAUGAUCACAUCAGUCAUUUGCUGCCUGCAUGCUGCCAAGAUACUAUUGUGAGGGUGUACUCUAAAAAGCCCGAACUGGUUUGUGAAAAAUUAUUAUCUAAAUUAAUAUUGUUAUGUUAACAAUUUACUUGGCGUUAUUAAAUAUUCCCGUGAAUGAACAAAUUUUUUUCAUCCAUACAGGUGGGAGCAAUUUCUGAGGCCUUCGAGAAUUUCCAGGUAAAAAUGUUUGGUAAGACAGCACAGGUGUAUGCUACUCCUGAGAAGAAGAAACGCCGACUAUAAUUGCUGCAAUUCUUCGUCUUACCUUGCCCAAUAUAUAAAUACGUACAAACACUAUACAUAUUCAUAUAGAACCAUUGACUGUCAAAGAAAAAAAGAAAACUA